RNAcentral lists this ribosomal RNA (272 nucleotides) under uncultured prokaryote. Its description in RNAcentral is "partial 16S ribosomal RNA". It matches the Rfam family "Bacterial small subunit ribosomal RNA", at positions 524 to 796 of the family's 1533-position model. The record is from RNAcentral.
AACGUAGGGGACAAGCGUUAUCCGGAUUUACUGGGCGUAAAGCGCAUGUAGGUGGCUUGACAAGUUGGAUGUGAAAGCUCCUGGCUUAACUGGGAGAGGUCAUUCAAAACUGGCAAGCUAGAGGAUGGAAGAGGAGAGCGGAAUUCCCGGUGUAGUGGUGGAAUGCGUAGAUAUCGGGAGGAACACCAGUGGCGAAAGCGGCUCUCUGGUUCGUGCCUGACACUGAGAUGCGAAAGCGUGGGGAGCGAACGGGAUUAGAAACCCUGUAGUCC